Molecule: non-coding RNA, 45 nt
Organism: Trichinella pseudospiralis
Lineage: Eukaryota; Metazoa; Nematoda; Enoplea; Trichinellida; Trichinellidae
Source: Rfam
CCAACGGCCCUUUUUAGGGCCAUCUGUUGUCACCUUGAAAAUGUC